UACGGAGGGUGCAAGCGUUAUCCGGAUUUACUGGGUUUAAAGGGUGUGUAGGCGGACUUUUAAGUCAGCGGUGAAAUCUCCGGGCUCAACCCGGAAACUGCCAUUGAUACUAUUGGUCUUGAAUGUUGUUGAGGUGGGCGGAACGGGUCAUGUAGCGGUGAAAUGCAUAGAUAUGACCCGGAACACCGAUUGCGAAGGCAGCCCACUAAGCAACGAUUGACGCUGAGGCACGAAAGCGUGGGGAGCAAACAGG
RNAcentral lists this ribosomal RNA (253 nucleotides) under uncultured bacterium. Its description in RNAcentral is "partial 16S ribosomal RNA". It matches the Rfam family "Bacterial small subunit ribosomal RNA", at positions 524 to 776 of the family's 1533-position model. The record is from RNAcentral.